AACGAACGCUGGCGGCAGGCUUAACACAUGCAAGUCGAACGAGCUGGGAACUUCGGUUCCCGAUGCUAGUGGCGCACGGGUGAGUAACACGUGGGAACAUACCCUUUAGUACGGAAUAACUCAGGGAAACUUGAGCUAAUACCGUAUGACUCCUUCGGGAGAAAGAUUUAUCGCUAAAGGAAUGGCCCGCGUCUGAUUAGGUAGUUGGUGAGGUAACGGCUCACCAAGCCGACGAUCAGUAGCUGGUCUGAGAGGAUGAUCAGCCACACUGGGACUGAGACACGGCCCAGACUCCUACGGGAGGCAGCAGUGGGGGAAUAUUGGACAAUGGGCGAAAGCCUGAUCCAGCCAUGCCGCGUGAGUGAAGAAGGCCUUCGGGUUGGUUAAAGG
Molecule: ribosomal RNA, 390 nt
Filed under: uncultured bacterium
Lineage: Bacteria
Description: bacterial SSU rRNA
Rfam family: Bacterial small subunit ribosomal RNA
Source: RNAcentral